GCUGGCGGCGUGCUUAACACAUGCAAGUCGAGCGGUAAGGCCCUUCGGGGUACACGAGCGGCGAACGGGUGAGUAACACGUGAGCAACCUGCCCCUGACUCUGGGAUAAGCGGUGGAAACGCCGUCUAAUACCGGAUACGACCCGCCACCUCAUGGUGGAGGGUGGAAAGUUUUUCGGUCAGGGAUGGGCUCGCGGCCUAUCAGCUUGUUGGUGGGGUAACGGCCUACCAAGGCGAUUACGGGUAGCCGGCCUGAGAGGGCGACCGGCCACACUGGGACUGAGACACGGCCCAGACUCCUGCGGGAGGCAGCAGUGGGGAAUAUUGCGCAAUGGGCGAAAGCCUGACGCAGCGACGCCGCGUGGGGGAUGACGGCCUUCGGGUUGUAAACCUCUUUUACCACCAACGCAGGCUUCCAGUUCUCUGGAGGUUGACGGUAGGUGGGGAAUAAGGACCGGCUAACUACGUGCCAGCAGCCGCGGUAAUACGUAGGGUCCGAGCGUUGUCCGGAAUUAUUGGGCGUAAAGAGCUCGUAGGCGGCGUGUCGCGUCUGCUGUGAAAGACCGGGGCUUAACUCCGGUUCUGCAGUGGAUACGGGCAUGCUAGAGGUAGGUAGGGGAGACUGGAAUUCCUGGUGUAGCGGUGAAAUGCGCAGAUAUCAGGAGGAACACCGGUGGCGAAGGCGGGUCUCUGGGCCUUACCUGACGCUGAGGAGCGAAAGCAUGGGGAGCGAACAGGAUUAGAUACCCUGGUAGUCCAUGCCGUAAACGUUGGGCGCUAGGUGUGGGGACUUUCCACGGUUUCCGCGCCGUAGCUAACGCAUUAAGCGCCCCGCCUGGGGAGUACGGCCGCAAGGCUAAAACUCAAAGGAAUUGACGGGGGCCCGCACAAGCGGCGGAGCAUGUUGCUUAAUUCGACGCAACGCGAAAAACCUUACCAAGGUUUGACAUCACCCGUGGACUCGCAAAGA
RNAcentral lists this ribosomal RNA (969 nucleotides) under Nocardiopsis sp. Its description in RNAcentral is "bacterial SSU rRNA". It matches the Rfam family "Bacterial small subunit ribosomal RNA", at positions 35 to 1006 of the family's 1533-position model. The record is from RNAcentral. Lineage: Bacteria; Bacillati; Actinomycetota; Actinomycetes; Streptosporangiales; Nocardiopsidaceae.